GCUAAACGCGAAGAACCUUACCUGGCCUUGACAUCCCAGGAACCCUGAAGAGAUUUGGGGUGCCGCAAGACUGGAGACAGGUGCUGCAUGGCUGUCGUCAGCUCGUGUCGUGAGAUGUUGGGUUAAGUCCCGCAACGAGCGCAACCCUCGUCCUUAGUUGCUAACAUUCAGUUGAGAACUCUAAGGAAACUGCCUAUGAUAAGUAGGAGGAAGGUGGGGACGACGUCAAGUCAUCAUGGCCCUUACGGCCUGGGCUACACACGUGCUACAAUGGUCGGUACAGAGGGUUGCAAGCCGCGAGGUGGAGCUAAUCUCACAAAACCGAUCGUAGUCCGGAUCGCAGUCUGCAACUCGACUGCGUGAAGUCGGAAUCGCUAGUAAUCGCGAAUCAGAAUGUCGCGGUGAAUACGUUCCCGGGUCUUGUACACACCG
This 432-nucleotide ribosomal RNA is filed under the name uncultured bacterium. Its description in RNAcentral is "bacterial SSU rRNA". It matches the Rfam family "Bacterial small subunit ribosomal RNA", at positions 954 to 1392 of the family's 1533-position model. The record is from RNAcentral.